GCCGACGUAGCUCAGUUGAUAGAGCAUCCGACUUGUAAUCGGAUGGUCGGGGGUUUGAAUCCCUUCGUCGGCUCCA
This 76-nucleotide transfer RNA is filed under the name Fibrobacter sp. RNAcentral's name for it is "tRNA-Thr". It matches the Rfam family "tRNA". From Rfam's summary of the family: Transfer RNA (tRNA) molecules are approximately 80 nucleotides in length. Their secondary structure includes four short double-helical elements and three loops (D, anti-codon, and T loops). The record is from RNAcentral. Lineage: Bacteria; Pseudomonadati; Fibrobacterota; Fibrobacteria; Fibrobacterales; Fibrobacteraceae.